CCUACGGGAGGCAGCAGUAGGGAAUAUUGCACAAUGGGGGAAACCCUGAAGCAGCAACGCCGCGUGGAGGAUGAAGGUUUUCGGAUUGUAAACUCCUUUCGGUAGAGAAGAUAAUGACGGUAUCUAACGAAUAAGCACCGGCUAACUCCGUGCCAGCAGCCGCGGUAAUACGGAGGGUGCAAGCGUUACUCGGAAUCACUGGGCGUAAAGAGCGCGUAGGCGGGUUAGCAAGUCAGAUGUGAAAUCCUAUGGCUUAACCAUAGAACUGCAUUUGAAACUGUUAUUCUAGAGUAUGGGAGAGGUAGGUGGAAUUCUUGGUGUAGGGGUAAAAUCCGUAGAGAUCAGGAGGAAUACUCGUUGCGAAGGCGGCCUGCUGGAACAUGACUGACGCUGAUGCGCGAAAGCGUGGGGAGCAAACAGGAUUAGAUACCCCGGUAGUC
RNAcentral lists this ribosomal RNA (440 nucleotides) under uncultured bacterium. RNAcentral describes it as "partial 16S ribosomal RNA". It matches the Rfam family "Bacterial small subunit ribosomal RNA", at positions 338 to 795 of the family's 1533-position model. The record is from RNAcentral.